AUGAACGCUGGCGGCGUGCCUAAUACAUGCAAGUCGAGCGAACGGACGAGAAGCUUGCUUCUCUGAUGUUAGCGGCGGACGGGUGAGUAACACGUGGAUAACCUACCUAUAAGACUGGGAUAACUUCGGGAAACCGUAGCUAAUACCGGAUAAUAUUUUGAACCGCAUGGUUCAAAAGUGAAAGACGGUCUUGCUGUCACUUAUAGAUGGAUCCGCGCUGCAUUAGCUAGUUGGUAAGGUAACGGCUUACCAAGGCAACGGUGCAUAGCCGACCUGAGAGGGUGAUCGGGCAGACUGGAACUGAGACACGGUCCAGACUCCUACGGGAGGCAGCAGUAGGGAAUCUUCCGCGAUGGGCGAAAGCCUGACGGAGCAACGCCGCGUGAGUGAUGAAGGUCUUCGGAUCGUAAGACUCUGUUAUUAGGGAAGAACAUAUGUGUAAGUAACUGUGCACAUCUUGACGGUACCUAAGCAGAAAGCCACGGCUAACUACGUG
RNAcentral lists this ribosomal RNA (496 nucleotides) under uncultured bacterium. RNAcentral's name for it is "partial 16S ribosomal RNA". It matches the Rfam family "Bacterial small subunit ribosomal RNA", at positions 29 to 507 of the family's 1533-position model. The record is from RNAcentral.